ACUCCUACGGGAGGCAGCAGUAGGGAAUCUUCCACAAUGGGCGCAAGCCUGAUGGAGCAACACCGCGUGAGUGAAGAAGGGUUUCGGCUCGUAAAGCUCUGUUGUUAAAGAAGAACACGUAUGAGAGUAACUGUUCAUACGUUGACGGUAUUUAACCAGAAAGUCACGGCUAACUACGUGCCAGCAGCCGCGGUAAUACGUAGGUGGCAAGCGUUAUCCGGAUUUAUUGGGCGUAAAGAGAGUGCAGGCGGUUUUCUAAGUCUGAUGUGAAAGCCUUCGGCUUAACCGGAGAAGUGCAUCGGAAACUGGAUAACUUGAGUGCAGAAGAGGGUAGUGGAACUCCAUGUGUAGCGGUGGAAUGCGUAGAUAUAUGGAAGAACACCGGUGGCGAAGGCGGCUACCUGGUCUGCAACUGACGCUGAGACUCGAAAGCAUGGUAGCGACAGGAUUAGAUA
RNAcentral lists this ribosomal RNA (455 nucleotides) under uncultured bacterium. RNAcentral's name for it is "bacterial SSU rRNA". It matches the Rfam family "Bacterial small subunit ribosomal RNA", at positions 335 to 784 of the family's 1533-position model. The record is from RNAcentral.